RNAcentral lists this small nucleolar RNA (81 nucleotides) under Peromyscus maniculatus bairdii (prairie deer mouse). Its description in RNAcentral is "Small nucleolar RNA SNORA40 (ENSPEMG00000003563.2)". It matches the Rfam family "Small nucleolar RNA SNORA40", at positions 46 to 128 of the family's 128-position model. Rfam says of the family: The snoRNA ACA 40 belongs to the H/ACA family of snoRNAs and guides the pseudouridylation of 28S rRNA subunit at position U4565. NB This family has a high threshold value to exclude a large number of closely related sequences that do not appear to have conserved H and ACA boxes, and may be pseudogenes. The record is from Rfam by way of RNAcentral. Lineage: Eukaryota; Metazoa; Chordata; Mammalia; Rodentia; Cricetidae.
GGCAGGUGCAACAAUAAAUCCUCUUUUGCAACCCAGAACUCAUUGUUCAGUAUGAGUUUGAUAUAUACAAGAAGGAAUACA